AACCAGCACCUCAAGUGGUCAGGAGGAUUAUUGGGCCUAAAGCAUCCGUAGCCGGCUCUGUAAGUUUUCGGUUAAAUCCAUGCGCUCAACGCAUGGGCUGCCGAAAAUACUGCAUAGCUAGGGAGUGGGAGAGGUAGACGGUACUCGGUAGGAAGGGGUAAAAUCCUUUGAUCUAUCGAUGACCACCUGUGGCGAAGGCGGUCUACCAGAACACGUUCGACGGUGAGGGAUGAAAGCUGGGGGAGCAAACCGGAUUAGAUACCCGGGUAGUCCCAGCUGUAAACGAUGCAGACUCGAUGAUGCAUUGGCWUAUAGCCAGUGCAGUGUCGCAGGGAAGCCGUUAAGUCUGCCGCCUGGGAAGUACGUACGCAAGUAUGAAACUUAA
RNAcentral lists this ribosomal RNA (385 nucleotides) under uncultured crenarchaeote. RNAcentral describes it as "bacterial SSU rRNA". It matches the Rfam family "Archaeal small subunit ribosomal RNA", at positions 474 to 859 of the family's 1478-position model. Lineage: Archaea; Thermoproteati; Thermoproteota. The record is from RNAcentral.